RNAcentral lists this unclassified non-coding RNA (253 nucleotides) under uncultured Caryophanales bacterium. RNAcentral's name for it is "uncultured Bacillales bacterium contains 16S-23S intergenic spacer region". It matches the Rfam family "Bacterial small subunit ribosomal RNA", at positions 524 to 776 of the family's 1533-position model. The record is from RNAcentral. Lineage: Bacteria; Bacillati; Bacillota; Bacilli; Caryophanales.
UACGUAGGGGGAAAGCGUUGUCCGGAAUUAUGGGGCGUAAAGCGCGCGCAUGCGGUUUCUUAAGUCUGAUGUGAAAGCCCACGGCUUAACCGUGGAGGGUCAUUGGAAACUGGGGAACUUUAGUACAGAAGAGGAGAGUGGAAUUCCACGUGUAGCGGUGAAAUGCGUAGAGAUGUGGAGGAACACCAGUGGCGAAGGCUACUCUCUGGUCUGUAACUGACGCUGAGGUGCGAAAGCGUGGGGAGCGAACAGG